RNAcentral lists this ribosomal RNA (465 nucleotides) under Vreelandella stevensii. RNAcentral's name for it is "partial 16S ribosomal RNA". It matches the Rfam family "Bacterial small subunit ribosomal RNA", at positions 338 to 795 of the family's 1533-position model. Lineage: Bacteria; Pseudomonadati; Pseudomonadota; Gammaproteobacteria; Oceanospirillales; Halomonadaceae. The record is from RNAcentral.
CCUACGGGUGGCUGCAGUGGGGAAUAUUGGACAAUGGGCGAAAGCCUGAUCCAGCCAUGCCGCGUGUGUGAAGAAGGCCUUCGGGUUGUAAAGCACUUUCAGUGGGGAAGAAAGCCUUGGGGCUAAUACCCUCGAGGAAGGACAUCACCCACAGAAGAAGCACCGGCUAACUCCGUGCCAGCAGCCGCGGUAAUACGGAGGGUGCGAGCGUUAAUCGGAAUUACUGGGCGUAAAGCGCGCGUAGGCGGUCUGAUAAGCCGGUUGUGAAAGCCCCGGGCUCAACCUGGGAACGGCAUCCGGAACUGUCAGGCUAGAGUGCAGGAGAGGAAGGUAGAAUUCCCGGUGGAGCGGUGAAAUGCGUAGAGAUCGGGAGGAAUACCAGUGGCGAAGGCGGCCUUCUGGACUGACACUGACGCUGAGGUGCGAAAGCGUGGGUAGCAAACAGGAUUAGAUACCCUUGUAGUC